RNAcentral lists this ribosomal RNA (720 nucleotides) under uncultured archaeon. Its description in RNAcentral is "bacterial SSU rRNA". It matches the Rfam family "Archaeal small subunit ribosomal RNA", at positions 55 to 777 of the family's 1478-position model. The record is from RNAcentral.
GAGUUAAAUGUUCUUCGUGAACAUAGCGAACUGCUCAGUAACACGUGGAUAACCUACCCUUAGGACCGGAAUAACCCCGGGAAGCUGGGGAUAAUACCGGAUAAGCUAUAGACGCUGGAAUGCCCUAUGGUUCAAAGCUCCGGCGCCUAAGGAUGGAUCUGCGGUCUAUCAGGUUGUAGUGGGUGUAACGUACCUACUAGCCGACGACGGAUACGGGUUGUGAGAGCAAGAGCCCGGAGAUGGAUUCUGAGACACGAAUCCAGGCCCUACGGGGUGCAGCAGGCGCGAACACUUUACAAUGCGGGAAACCGCGAUAAGGGAACCCCGAGUGCCAGCAUCAAAUGUUGGCUGUCCAGAUGAUUAAAAAUCAUUUGUUAGCAAGGGCCGGGCAAGACCGGUGCCAGCCGCCGCGGUAACACCGGCGGCCCGAGUGGUAGCCGUUUUUAUUGGGUCUAAAGGGUCCGUAGCCGGCCUGAUAAGUCCUUUGGGAAAUCUGGCAGCUUAACUGUCAGGCUUCUAAGGGAUACUGUCAGGCUUGGGACCGGAAGAGGUAAGGGGUACUCCAGGGGUAGGAGUGAAAUCUUGUAAUCCCUGGGGGACCAUCUGUGGCGAAGGCGCCUUACCAGAACGGGUCCGACGGUGAGGGACGAAAGCUGGGGGCACGAACCGGAUUAGAUACCCGGGUAGUCCCAGCCGUAAACGAUGCUCGCUAGGUGUCAG